GAAGCCUGGUUAUUUAGGGGCAUAUAUUUCCAAUGUCUUUAUUGUUAUCGUUAUUCUUGUUGUCUUUCCUCGUCAAACCAAACCUCUUAAUGGUUAUUUGUCGUCAUUUGUUUCCUUCCAAAUACAAAUUUCCGACACUCCAUCCUCAAAAAUAAAGAUAUAUUUAUGUUUUGCUUUGUUUUGCUUCAUUGUCUUUCUUUAUCUCUUUUACUCCGUACGUUUUAUGAUAUUUUUUUAUUUUUUUUCUCAAUAUCAUUUUAUUACCUUCUUUGGUAUGUUAGGGAGUAACAGUUACAACCUGCUUUUUAGUAAAUACUUUGAACCAUUUUUGUGCUUCUUGAUUAUGUUACAUUUAUUGUUAUUUUUAUUAUUGUUUGGCGCUAUUAGCCACGAAUAUAAUGUGUUCUCAAGUGUGAUUACCUCGUUAAUUACUGAUUCAUUAAGCAUAUUGUUGGCAGAGAAAUCUUGGAGCUAUGGCUAAUGCGGGAUUAUCCGCUAAACAAGAGAAGUAUGAUAAAAUACAGAGGAUGAAACAAGAAGUUGCUGAAAUGGUGAAAUCGCAGGCUGUGGGCAAGAAACACAAACACAGCUUCAACAAUGUGUUGGAAAAUAAAAUUUGUAAAUUAUAUGAUCUUUAUGUUGAGACACUAGAAGAAGAUUUAAUUGUGUCUGUAGAAGAUAUUAAGAAAAGUUAAUAGUACUUCAUGUCCGUCACUGGCUUUGUUGUGGCCCGGUGGCUUCAUGAGUACUAAUAGGAUUAAACGCGGAGCUAAAGAAAGGAAAGGCAUUCGCAGUUUCCGGGAGGAUCAAGAGAAUUAAAGAAGCAAAAUGUUUUAGCACAGGGAACAAAAUUCUUAUGAGAAAUUGUUGUCUUGUGAUCGUGGUUCUAAGUUGGUGAGCUGUGCAGCUCGCGGUGCUGUCCCUUCAAACGGCCUCAAUUCAGGCAACCCGAAGUAGGAAAAAUUAAAGAAGUUUAUCUUCAGCAGCAACCUAGACCAUACGGAUACAAAGCCGUUUGUUACCAAAAGGAAAGCAAAACGGAUGCCCAAUGCCGAGGAGGCUGAUCUUCUCCUUGAGAAGCUGGUAAUUUCAUAGAGCGGAGAAAGGGCACAAACUUGAUAAGCAUUUGUGCGAAAGAAUUGAACUUGCAAAUAUAUUGAGUUGUUAGGUUUUGUUUCGGUUUAUAAGAGAGAUAGAAAGAAAAAGUGAUUGAAGUGUUAUUAAUGGAGAAUUGAUUUCAUCUAAUUAAAGAGGAA
This is an RNA transcript of Salvia splendens (bonfire salvia), 1256 nucleotides long. It is a transcript of the gene named ubinuclein-2, with no coding region annotated. The transcript has 4 exons. The record is from RefSeq and is a predicted model, not a curated record. NCBI's taxonomy places the organism in Eukaryota, Viridiplantae, Streptophyta, Magnoliopsida, Lamiales, Lamiaceae.